AUAGAACCACUUGAGAGAAAAUUAGACACAAAGCUAUAAGUACAUAUGAAAAUGAUGAGGUCUUAGAGAACAUUAGCGGACAUCUGUUACGUCCCCACUGGUUUUGAAUCCAAUUAGUUGUGAUGGCUGUAGCCAGUUGGUUGGGUUGAAGAGAUAACCGUUCGGAUUCAAAUUCCAAUGAGAGGAAGCCUUUUGCAUGUUUUGAUCUGUCUCAAUUUCAGAGAUCACAGAGGCCACCAACGAAGAAAAGCACCCGAGUUUUCCUAGAAACGGUGACGAAAGAGUGUCGGGUCAGAUCGGGUCGGGUCAGAAUCAGGGCCGAUCUGUCUUACAAUCUUCCUUCCCCCUUUUCUAUCUUUGUCGUGUUUUUAUAAUCGAAUCCACUCUCAAAGACUCCCAAAAGUGGUUAAAGCAAAGUGCUCUGUUCUUUCCCUCUCUGAAAGAAAGGAAUUUUCUUUUUCCUGCGAUUCCACGAAGAAAAAAAAGAGUUGACAUGCACGCUGGCUCCUCUUUUAACCACCGCUACGUCAAGUCCAACCCUCGCGAAGUAGAGAACGCUACUUGGAUGCUUACUAUGUUUCAAUGUUUUGGGGAAUACUUCUUCUGCCUCCAUUUCGAGGCGUUCCAGCUCGGGAUGGGUCCGGUGUCCAUGGCGUUCCUGAGGAAGAAGCGAGGAGUUAUAGCUACAGUUUAGAAGUGGGAGGGGUAGUGGGAGGAAGCUAACAUGGGAAGGAACACCAAGAAGCAUCAGAGAUAGCCACAGGAAAGUAAGAGACAGCAACGACAGGUCUCAUCAUCCAAAGAAACAUGGCUUUCUUCUUCAUGAUAUCAUUCUUUCUUCUUCUUUUUGUUUCCCUCUUUGAGAAGUUCAAUGUAUGUAUGUAAAAACAUUUCUUGAUUGAAUUGUGUUUGAUGAUAUCAAAGUUAUAAUAUUCAUUUGUUGGGUAGUCUUGA
Molecule: long non-coding RNA, 954 nt
Organism: Raphanus sativus (radish)
Lineage: Eukaryota; Viridiplantae; Streptophyta; Magnoliopsida; Brassicales; Brassicaceae
Exons: 2
Source: RefSeq, a predicted model, not a curated record